Non-coding RNA from Pelobates cultripes (western spadefoot toad), 653 nucleotides. The record is from the annotation of a GenBank genome assembly. Lineage: Eukaryota; Metazoa; Chordata; Amphibia; Anura; Pelobatidae.
AGGACGCUGACCUAGCAUUCUCCUCGGAGGAUCAUAAGAUGUUCGGAUCUCAGUUCGACUACUCUUAAAUAUCUCAAUAUAUCUGUGCCCUAUUCUCUCCUUGUGUUUCCCCAGAGCAUUUUCUGCUAUCUCCUUUGAAGCAAACUGCACGAAGGCCUCCCCUGUGCUUCUCCCCUGGUAGUCGACCGUCAAUCUUAUCCCAUUUGGCACGAUUCUCAACCCUGAGAAAAACUGUACAAUCUCCUCUUUGCUGCACCCAAAAGGUAGCCCUCGUAGCCGCACUGUUCCAUCAGUGGCCGUGUAAACAUCUCCAGUGCUAUUGUGUUUCAAAACCCAUUCCAUUUCUGUGUUAUUUGACUUGAACACUUCAAUGUAUCUGUGUCCCAUAUAUUUACAGUCUUUCUCCAAAGCCUUCUUAAGAUCGUCGUCUGUUUCCAGAAGAAUGAAAGCCUCCCCACUUGGACGUCCUUCUUUGGAUGUGGUGAAGUGAAUACCACUAAUUCCAUCAAGUAUGGCGCAGUCUGAAAAGAACUCUAGCACUUCUUCACGUGUGCAAGACCAUGGCAGGCCACGGACUCUUACAAUGUAUUCGUCUGACAUUAUUUCCUACAGUCCUGUGUGUGGCGAAUCAACUGCAGCGAGCGGUGAAGAAC